GAAGAAUACCAGAAGAAAAAUGUUAAAUAUGAGCAAGAAUCAAGAGAAGCAUUGGUUGAUAUGCAAUUUGAUGAAAUGAAAAACGCACUUAUCAAACAUAUAUAUUAUCAACAGGCAAUGCUAAGCAAGUACACUCAAAUGGGCCAGAAGAUGGAAUUCAACAAAGAGCUUGCAAAUGCUCCCUGUUCCAGGGGAAACAAGAUAUUGGAAGAACUAGUGGAUGAUCAUUUUUUACCAAUUGCAAUCACAGAAUUUUUCUCUGGAAAAGAUUCUAUUCCUCCAGCUAAACUAAUUCAUUCUCUUUUACAGCAUAUUCUCCAGGGAAAUUCAGACCCUACCCUUUCUGUCCAUUUUUUUCAUAUAAUGUAUACUCUCCUCG
This 379-nucleotide long non-coding RNA is filed under the name Notechis scutatus (mainland tiger snake). RNAcentral describes it as "lncRNA (ENSNSUG00000006179.1)". Lineage: Eukaryota; Metazoa; Chordata; Lepidosauria; Squamata; Elapidae. The record is from RNAcentral.